RNAcentral lists this ribosomal RNA (392 nucleotides) under uncultured bacterium. Its description in RNAcentral is "partial 16S ribosomal RNA". It matches the Rfam family "Bacterial small subunit ribosomal RNA", at positions 523 to 918 of the family's 1533-position model. The record is from RNAcentral.
AUACGGAGGAUCCGAGCGUUAUCCGGAUUUAUUGGGUUUAAAGGGUGCGCAGGCGGCCACUUAAGUCAGCGGUUAAAUCGUGGGGCUCAACCCCAUUCUGCCGUUGAUACUGGGUGGCUUGAUUGCGGUCGAGGUUGGCGGAAUUCGUUGUGUAGCGGUGAAAUGCAUAGAUAUGACGAAGAACACCGAUUGCGUAGGCAGCUGACCAGACCGCAAAUGACGCUCAUGCACGAAAGUGCGGGGAACGAACAGGAUUAGAUACCCUGGUAGUCCGCACAGUAAACGAUGAAUACUUGUUUUCGGCGAUAUAAUGUCGGAGGCAAAGCGAAAGCGAUAAGUAUUCCACCUGGGGAGUACGCCGGCAACGGUGAAACUCAAAGGAAUUGACGGGG